AGCGAACGCUGGCGGCAUGCCUAACACAUGCAAGUCGCACGGGGGGGCUUCGGCCUCCCAGUGGCGGACGGGUGAGGAACGCGUAGGGACCUGUCGAGGGGUGGGGGAUAACCGCGGGAAACUGCGGCUAAUACCGCAUGACGCCGCGGCGUGACAGCCGGGGCCAAAGGCGAAAGCCGCCCGCCGAGGGGCCUGCGUCCGAUUAGCUGGUUGGCGGGGUAGCGGCCCACCAAGGCGUCGAUCGGUAGCUGGUCUGAGAGGUUGAUCAGCCACACCGGGACUGAGACACGGCCCGGACUCCUACGGGAGGCAGCAGUGGGGAAUAUUGGACAAUGGGCGCAAGCCUGAUCCAGCAAUGCCGCGUGGGUGAAGAAGGUCUUCGGAUUGUAAAGCCCUUUCGGCGGGGACGAUGGUGACGGUACCCGCAGAAGAAGCCCCGGCUAACUUCGUG
RNAcentral lists this ribosomal RNA (451 nucleotides) under uncultured bacterium. Its description in RNAcentral is "partial 16S ribosomal RNA". It matches the Rfam family "Bacterial small subunit ribosomal RNA", at positions 28 to 507 of the family's 1533-position model. The record is from RNAcentral.